RNAcentral lists this ribosomal RNA (253 nucleotides) under uncultured bacterium. RNAcentral describes it as "partial 16S ribosomal RNA". It matches the Rfam family "Bacterial small subunit ribosomal RNA", at positions 524 to 776 of the family's 1533-position model. The record is from RNAcentral.
UACAGAGGGAGCUAGCGUUGUUCGGAAUCACUGGGCGUAAAGCGCGCGUAGGUGGCUUGCCAAGUCGGGGGUGAAAGCCCAGAGCUCAACUCUGGAACUGCCUUCGAAACUGGCGAGCUUGAGAAUAGUAGGGGAUAGUGGAAUUUCUAGUGGAGUAGUGAAAUACGUAGAUAUUAGAAGGAACACCAGUGGCGAAGGCGGCUAUCUGGGCUAUUUCUGACACUAAGGCGCGAAAGCGUGGGGAGCAAACAGG